ACCGGCCCAGGUUGCACAGAAAGCAGCUCAGAUUGUUCAGAUCGUAAUGCGGAGGUUUCCGUCGACUGGUGACUAUCCGAAGCCGGUGAGGAUUCAGAAGAACGGUUUUCCGAUGUAUUUAACGCUGACGUGCCGGAAACCGCAGAACGGGCAGGAAGCCAAAGCACUAGCAGCUAAAAUUUCGCAGCUUCGCUUGCAAAGUGGGCUCUACAAUGUAACAUUACUCACAGGUCCCUGACACCGCCUCUCCGACUUCUAAGAGCACACGGGUUUUUCCGGAAUCUUCCAAAAGAUGCUAGAACUUUUCUGAAGACCCCGGUGGGGCUGUCGAGGAUGUUGCUAUCUCUACAAUAGCCGGAGAAGACGAAACAAGUUUUGCAAUGCACACGGACUGGCUCAGUUAUGAAUGUCACAAAUGCUCCCCUAACGAGGAUCAAAUCAAUGAAAGGAUGGCCUUGAUAAAUAAUAUUCAUGAGGCGAAGAGGAAGUACCCAUACAUGAUGAGCUUUGAGAGGUGACUUUGCAAGACGGACUAAGAUUGACCCAUCACCUUGUAUUGCAAAAGGGAUCAACAAAAUUGUGAAAAUGGCAGAAAUGAAACACAUCCCUUGCGAAGCAAGUGUAAUGGCAUCACUUCAAAAGGCUCGUGAGAUGUCACCGGAGAGGCUGCGAACACGACGACCCGAGCGUUCCUGCAACCUCUUGCAUCGUAUUUUCUGGAGAAGACGUUGAAGAGGCUGACCUCCACAUCAAGGUGGACCGCGAGAUGUUUGCAGUGAAAAAUGGGGAGGAGGGGCUGGCGGCUGUUUUAUCUGCUUACUGGCUCUUCAAUAUCCAGUACGACCGCAAGCUAUUCAACACUCUUCUCGUGUUGGAGCGCCUUUUCCUUGGGCUCACAUUGAGUACCCCUAGAGUAGUGGCUACAAAGUUCUUGAACAAUGUUGCCAAAUGUGUGCCAUGUUUAAUGUGCUGAAGCUGUGCACUGUUACCUCAUCAUGAGUUUAGCUGUAAUUUUCAGAUGCAAGUUUUGUUUUGUCUAACCAUUUCUGCAAUACAUAUGAAGGAAGCCAACAGUCACCGAUAACAAGGCAAGCUUAUGGCAACGCUAUUCGUUUUUUUUUAUUUGCAGUGUUAGUAGUUGGAAAUUAUUAGUGUAAUUAUUUUCAGAUGUGGUUAGUUAGGAUCCCACUGGCAGCAUGUGGUUUUCUGCUUUCUGAUCAUUUACCUGUCAGCCAUAAAAUGAUUACACUAACAAUUUUCUAUUGUCAGCACCACAAAUUGUUAAAACUUAGAAGCAUUCUCCAUGUGGGGCGUUCCUUGGUCUCGGUCACUGUUGGCAUUUUUCAUAUGCAUUACAGAAAGGGUUAAACUAUUCAACACUUUCUUAUCUAAAUGUUACAGGUAAACUGUCUUUUGUAUUACAUCAUUAGCUCUUUUUAACUUUCAAUAACUAAGCAAGAUUCUAGUCGUAAAAAAAAUAAAAGCUCUAGAAGGUUGAUACGUACUUCUCGCUUAUUACGUAGUUACGAAAGCUGAUCUCAUAUACAGUUGUGGU
Dermacentor silvarum is the source of this 1555-nucleotide long non-coding RNA. RefSeq lists it as uncharacterized. The transcript has 4 exons. The record is from RefSeq and is a predicted model, not a curated record. NCBI's taxonomy places the organism in Eukaryota, Metazoa, Arthropoda, Arachnida, Ixodida, Ixodidae.